AGUGAACGCUGGCGGUAGGCCUAACACAUGCAAGUCGAGCGGCAGCACAGUAAGAGCUUGCUCUUACGGGUGGCGAGUGGCGGGCGGGUGAGGAAUACAUCGGAAUCUACUUUUUCGGGGGGGAUAACGGAGGGAAACUUACGCUAAUACCGCAUACGACCUACGGGUGAAAGCAGAGGAUCUUCGGACCUUGCGCGAUUGAAUGAGCCGAUGUCGGAUUAGCUAGUUGGCGGGGUAAAGGCCCACCAAGGCGACGAUCCGUAGCUGGUCUGAGAGGAUGAUCAGCCACACUGGAACUGAGACACGGUCCAGACUCCUACGGGAGGCAGCAGUGGGGAAUAUUGGACAAUGGGCGAAAGCCUGAUCCAGCCAUACCGCGUGGGUGAAGAAGGUCUUCGGGUUGUAAAGCCCUUUUAUUGGGAAAGAAAAGCAGCAGGUUAAUACCCCGCUGUUCUGACGGUACCCAAAGAAUAAGCACCGGCUAACUUCGUG
Molecule: ribosomal RNA, 492 nt
Filed under: uncultured bacterium
Lineage: Bacteria
Description: partial 16S ribosomal RNA
Rfam family: Bacterial small subunit ribosomal RNA
Source: RNAcentral